This 253-nucleotide ribosomal RNA is filed under the name uncultured prokaryote. RNAcentral describes it as "partial 16S ribosomal RNA". It matches the Rfam family "Bacterial small subunit ribosomal RNA", at positions 524 to 776 of the family's 1533-position model. The record is from RNAcentral.
UACGGGGGGGGCAAGCGUUGUUCGGAAUUACUGGGCGUAAAGGGCGCGUAGGCGGCCUUCUAAGUCGAACGUGAAAUCCCCGGGCUCAACCCGGGAACUGCGUCCGAUACUGGAAGGCUUGAAUCCGGGAGAGGGAUGCGGAAUUCCAGGUGUAGCGGUGAAAUGCGUAGAUAUCAAGAGGAACACCUGAGGUGAAGACGGGUUGCUGGGCUGACACUGACGCUGAGGCGCGAAAGCCGAGGUAGCGAACAGG